UGAUCGAUACAGAAUAUUAUCCGCGAUCGAGACAAAUUUCAGUUGCGCAAAAUCUUUACGGCGAAACGAACGCGAGACCGAGUCGUCGGAUACCAACGUCCCCAGGUUGUACGGCCGUAGGAAAGCUUCGUAUGAUUUCGCACGUUGUAGCUCUUGAAGAGCGCCAUUGAAUUUUCUCAUCUCGAAUUCGCCAACAACGGGAUUCGUUUUUUGUAGCUCGGCUCCACGAUCACACUCUAUCGACCCCGGGUGUUAAUAACUUUCUUGCGUCGAGUCCUAAAUAGAUCCGCGUAAGUUCGCAAUUCGUGU
This is a non-coding RNA of Cinara cedri, 309 nucleotides long. NCBI's taxonomy places the organism in Eukaryota, Metazoa, Arthropoda, Insecta, Hemiptera, Aphididae. The record is from the annotation of a GenBank genome assembly.